GAUGAACGCUGGCGGCGUGCCUAAUACAUGCAAGUCGAGCGGACGGACGAGGAGCUUGCUUCGCUGUUGUUAGCGGCAGGCGGGUGAGUAACGCGUGUAUAACCUCCCUAUCAGUCGGGGAAAACUUCGAAACACCGGAUCUAAUACCGUAGGAUAUUUUGAACCGCGUGGUGCAAAGGUGAAAUACGGUGUUGCUGUCUCUUCUAGAUGGUUCCGCGCUGCAUUAGCUAGUUGGUAAGGUAACGGCUUACCAAGGCAACUAGGCAUAGCCGACCGGUGAGGGUGAUCGGCGACAUGGGAACUGAGACAGGGUCCAGAGGACUACGGGAGGCAGCAGUAGGGAACGGGCGGCAGUGGGCGAAAGUAUGACGGAGUAACGGCGCGUGAGUGAUGAAGAUGUUCGGAUCGUAAAACUCUGUUAUGGGGGAUGAACAUAUGUGUAAGUAAAUGUGGAGAGCGUGACGGUAACGAAUCAGAAAGCCACGGCUAACUACGUG
This 497-nucleotide ribosomal RNA is filed under the name uncultured bacterium. RNAcentral's name for it is "partial 16S ribosomal RNA". It matches the Rfam family "Bacterial small subunit ribosomal RNA", at positions 28 to 507 of the family's 1533-position model. The record is from RNAcentral.